Molecule: ribosomal RNA, 909 nt
Filed under: Penicillium velutinum
Lineage: Eukaryota; Fungi; Ascomycota; Eurotiomycetes; Eurotiales; Aspergillaceae
Description: LSU rRNA
Rfam family: Eukaryotic large subunit ribosomal RNA
Source: RNAcentral
GCAUAUCAAUAAGCGGAGGAAAAGAAACCAACAGGGAUUGCCUCAGUAACGGCGAGUGAAGCGGCAAGAGCUCAAAUUUGAAAGCUGGCCCCCUCGGGGUCCGCAUUGUAAUUUGCAGAGGAUGCUUCGGGAGCGGCCCCCAUCUAAGUGCCCUGGAACGGGCCGUCAUAGAGGGUGAGAAUCCCGUCUGGGAUGGGGUGUCCGCGCCCGUGUGAAGCUCCUUCGACGAGUCGAGUUGUUUGGGAAUGCAGCUCUAAAUGGGUGGUAAAUUUCAUCUAAAGCUAAAUACUGGCCGGAGACCGAUAGCGCACAAGUAGAGUGAUCGAAAGAUGAAAAGCACUUUGAAAAGAGAGUUAAACAGCACGUGAAAUUGUUGAAAGGGAAGCGCUUGCGACCAGACUCGCUCGCGGGGUUCAGCCGGCAUUCGUGCCGGUGUACUUCCCCGCGAGCGGGCCAGCGUCGGUUUGGGCGGCCGGUCAAAGGCCCUCGGAAUGUAACGCCCCCCGGGGCGUCUUAUAGCCGAGGGUGCCAUGCGGCCAGCCCGGACCGAGGAACGCGCUUCGGCUCGGACGCUGGCAUAAUGGUCGUAAGCGACCCGUCUUGAAACACGGACCAAGGAGUCUAACAUCUACGCGAGUGUUCGGGUGUCAAACCCGUGCGCGCAGUGAAAGCGAACGGAGGUGGGAACCCCUCGGGGUGCACCAUCGACCGAUCCUGAUGUCUUCGGAUGGAUUUGAGUAAGAGCGUAGCUGUUGGGACCCGAAAGAUGGUGAACUAUGCCUGAAUAGGGCGAAGCCAGAGGAAACUCUGGUGGAGGCUCGCAGCGGUUCUGACGUGCAAAUCGAUCGUCAAAUUUGGGUAUAGGGGCGAAAGACUAAUCGAACCAUCUAGUAGCUGGUUCCUGCCGAG